UAGCAUACACUUUUAAAAAUAAAUGUAAAUAAGUAAAUAGAGACAAAAGACAAAUCUCCCAUGUAGUGUUCCAGAUAAUUUCGGUAGAUACUCCACCUCCUAACUCCCACUCUUUAUACAUGGGUUGUACAUGGUGAAUGACCAAAGAGGAUGGUAUGGAAAAUGGGGAAAAAAAGAGUAACUUUACAGUGGAGAAACUGACAAACACUACUUCAGCCAGGUAAUUAAUAGCGGAGAGAGCAAGCGUGUAUGUCCUGUGUUUCUCAACUUUGCUGACACCCUAUAGUCUUGUGGGGAACAGUCUGGUGAAGCAUAAAGAUCUUAGAUCUGGAGUCGGCCAGCUCUGAGCUCCAAUCCUACCUCUGUGUGCUCUUGGAGCAGUCACUCAACCUUAUUGAGUCUGUUUCCCCAUCUGUGAGAAGAGGAUUAGAAUGCAGCGAUGAGGCCGAGUGCAGUGGUUCAAACCUGUGAUCCCAGUACUUUGGGAGAUCAAGGCAGGAGAAUCGCUUGAGCCCAGGAGUUCAAGACCAGCCUGGGCAACAUAGAGAGACCUCCAUCUCUACAAAAAAUUUAAAAAUUAGCUGGGUGUGGUGGUGCACACCUGUAAUCUCAGCUACUUAGGAGGCUGAGUGGGGAGGAUUACUUGAGCCUGGGAGGUUGAGGCUGCAGUAAGCUAUGAUGGUGCCACUGCACUGCAGCCUGGGUGACAGAGUGAGACCCUGUCUUAAAAAAUACAUGACAUUAAAAAAGAAAAAGAAUGCAGUGACGUCUGUCUGGCCCUUAGCAACUGUGAGUGCUGUUGGAAUCAUAUUCUAUUUGAAGGCAGCUCCAAAGUACUGGAGUGGAGUCAGGGGUGGCUUUGCAGAAGGGUCCUGCUGUUGACACACUUUCCCUCGGGCAGAUCCCCUCAUACUGCCAGACUUUCCAGUCCUUCACUCAUUCUUCACUAAACUGCAAGGGGCCAGGGUGAGAUGGCUCACGCCUAUAAUCCCAGCACUUUGGGAGGCUGAGGUGGGUGGACUGCUUGAGAUCAGGAGUUUAAAACCAGCCUGGCCAACAUGGCAAAACCCUGCCUCUACAAAAAAAAAAAAUACAAAAAUUAGCCAGGCGUGGUGGUGUGCGCCUAUAAUCCCAGCUACUCCAGAGGCUGAGGCAUUAGAAUUGCUUGAACCCAGGAGGCAGAGGUUGCAGUGAACUGAGAUCACGCCACUGCACUCCAGCCUGGGCGACAGGGCGAGACCCUGUCUCAAAAAAAAAAAAAAAGCUCCAAGGUCAAGGGCUUUUCAGACCCUCUUGGUCCGUUUGGUUAGGGGGUAUUUUCACAAAGCUUUGCCUGUUAGCUUUAUGGGACCUGGAGGGCAUACUUUAUAGAACACAAUUUUCAUACCAGUGUCUCUAACCACAAACCCCAAGAGUCUGAACGUUGAGACACUCAGGAAGUUGAAAGGGACCUCUCCUCUUCAGAGGCCCGGCCCAGCUCACAGGAAUGGCAUGCAUCAAAAGGCAGGAAGUCCCUCACAAGUCUGUCCUAUCAAGCCACCAGACACUGGUUACCUUUAUGUGGCUGCACAACAGGCUGAGUUCCCAGGGAGGGGCGAGGUGGUCUGGGGCCUUCAAGCCGUGGUGGAACCCACGCCUGAGAAGCGAGGCCUGCCGCUCCCACCACAGGAAGCCUGGCCCCCGCCAGCAACAGAGAGACUCAGAGCCCGGGCCUCGAUGCCCUCAUGGGAUAAGUGGCAUUUUGGUUCCUGUUUCCUUCCCUCUCUGUUUUUCUUUUCAUAGAUUCUCCAUGCAAAUAUUAAACAUGUCCUACAAAUCUCAGGAACCAGCACACAGAGAAACACAGAGAAGAGGUACAAGCAGAUGACCUGGGCUCAGCCAUAUGAAAACACUCAGCGCCUGGCCAGGAGUGGUGGCUAACGCCUGUAAUUCCAGCACUUUGGGAGGCUGAGGCAGGAGAAGCGCUUGAACCCGGGAGGAGAGGUUGCAGUGAGCCGAGACGGCACCACUGCACUCCAGCCUGGGCAAUAGAGCAAGACUCAGCCUCAAAAAUGAAAAAAUAAAAACUAAAAACACUCAGCCCUAAUUCGAAUGGAACAUGAGUUGCCCCACCUGCAGUGGCAUAGGAUAGAGUUCCUGGAGCAGGUGCAGCAGUGCUACUGGCAGUCUGAAGGCUUCAGUGCUGGAGAGGUGGGAGGAGAAGCAACAGCAUCUACAGUUCAGAGAACCAGUCUUCCCCGUAAUUCAGAGAGAUGCCACUCUCCUCCUCAUGAAUCAUUUUACCGCUAAAGUUGAUUCCUAUGGCCUGCGACUGACAACUCUUAUUGAAGCUGUUGUACUGUUCUCUAUUUCUCUGUUUUUGAAGUAUUCCAUAAUAAAGAAAAUGAAUAAGGAGGAAA
This is a long non-coding RNA of Pan troglodytes (chimpanzee), 2399 nucleotides long. RefSeq lists it as uncharacterized. The record is from RefSeq and is a predicted model, not a curated record. NCBI's taxonomy places the organism in Eukaryota, Metazoa, Chordata, Mammalia, Primates, Hominidae. The transcript has 2 exons.